CAGAAAACGACCCGAAAACGAUAAAGAGAACAGGGCCUAAGAUUUUCAAAAUCGGACUUUAGCUAAAUAACUAUGAAUACUGUCCUCAUCUCUUGCUUCAAGUUGUCUAGCUUAAAAUUGCCCAGUUGGUUUUUUUCUAGAAAUAAUGAGUUGACAAUGCAUUGUUGCAGUAAAAUAUUAAGGGCAUGUUCGGUAUAAUUUUGAAAAUUGAUUUUUUGACCGUUAGGAGAAAAAUGGGAUCCACUCGUUAGAGAAGACGUCAAAAAUUACGGCUGAAAUAGUGAAAUAAAGGUCAAAAAAUCAAUUUUUUGGGGCAAAAAAUUACUCUCAAACGGGGCCUAAAUAGAAUGAAAACAUAGUGCAUUGUGAUCGGGACGUUUAACUUCUUCUUGUGCAUUCUGUCAUGAAGUGAAACGUUCAGAAGUUCUUUCCCAAACUAAGCAAUUCUAAAUGUUAUAUUGCAAAUUUCUAUUACAUGGCCUGUCUUAUCCUUAUUCUAAGUUCUUUAAGAGGGAGCCUCAAGGCCACACGUGUCACUUAUGUCAUGAAUAGAAGUUGAAAAAUAGAGAAGAUAACCCCUACCCCCCUCCCCUCCCCCCCCUUCCUUCAAUGACUUCAAACUAGAAUAUCUAAUUUGAUGAAUAAAGUAGUACAUAGAGUUGUUCAGUUUUGCUUGAGAUUGAUGUAGAGAACAAAAUUUAGUAGAUGAUAGUAGCUCACUCAAUGUAACUGGGUUUUGAAAUUGUCUUUAGAUUUGAUGGUAGUAAGAUAUGGAAUGCUUUAAUUUUUUCACAACUUUAUCGCAAGUUUGAUUGUGCCCAUUAACUCAAAAUGUUUGCGUCCACCACUGUAUACAUGUCUAAGCAAAGCGUGGUAUCUCAUACCAUCUAAAAGACGCUAUAUACACGAAUUAAAUACUUAUGUAGUCGCUCAUUUUCUUUCAGUUUCACUGCACAAUUUAGCGAGCAUUUCUAGGUGACCAAUUCUUCCUCUGUCUAUUUCACACUGUUAAUGUAAUUGAUUUUUCUUUGAAUUGACUCCUUUUCGUGCAGUUUUAGUGCACAAUUCGGCGAGCUUUUUAAGGUGACCAAUUCUUCCUCUCUCUAAUUCACACCGUUAAUUUGAUUGAACUUUCUUAGCAAAAGAUUUAAAGUUGUAAGUCAAUGAAUAUGAUAUUGAUCCUGCCUUGCAUAAUCAAUUUUGAUAGAUUAUUACUUUUUGUGGUUGGAAUUCUUGAUAAUUUGAUUAUAUUUACUAGAUUUUGAUCAAAACAUUGAGUAAUUUGUAGUGAUUUGAGUUUGAUUGGCGUUUUAUAUACUUCUUUUAACGAAAUAUCAUUGGGUGAUCUCUGUUUAUAGCAGAAAAUUUGGAUUUUCCCACUAAAUUUAUGCUUAACGAAUGACCUUUUAACAAGGUUGAAGGAGUUGAUGAUUUGUUUAUCGAAUUCAGUAUCAUUUUGAUGUUAAAUGGUUUUAAUAUCACAAAACCAGGAGAAACAUUUUAUGUAAAACUAUGCAUUUGUGCUAUACUCUUAAUAUUGGACUAGAUUAAACUUGGAAACUCACUGCAAUUUUUAACACUGGGGAAUGCUCAGCUGUUUGUAAUUUUUCACGCUAUCACAGUUCUCUAGUUGUUUCUGAUCCCCCGGCUAAGAAAAAUUCUACAAGGAAGGAAAAUAAGAAAGUUUUUCUUAUAGUAUUUUCGACUAUCCCAAUGAUCUUCGUUUCAUUGUUUCAUUCAUUCUUGCGAGAGAAUUUCAUGACUAAUAUCUAGUGUUGAAUCCCCAAGAUGCAGUGACUAAUGUUGAAUCCUCCAAUAUCAACUCAGUUACUCACAUGCAUUUUGGGCUUGGGGAUUUUGUUUUAGAAGCCUAGUCAACCAUAAUCUUUGGUAAAAUAGCCUAUAUCAAUACUUUUUGUUCAAGUAGUCUAUAGUCUAUUUGAUUAUAUAUUAAAAGUCUUAAAUACCCUUAAACUGAAAUGACUAAAAUGUCCAAUUUGGAAAUGAAUAUUACCCAAAUCCCCAAAUAUAAAUCCCUAAGUGAAUUAGCGGGUUGGGAUAUGUCAAUUCGGCCAAUCCCCUUCAUUUCUCUUGUUUCGAAGUCCAUUUUCAUCAUAUUAAACCCACAUUCAAAUUCAGCUUUAUUCUUUUUUAUAUGCAUUAUUCUUGCUUACAAUGAAUGAUUGCAUGUUGAAGUUCCCUUUCUUGAACCAAGAACAAAUCAAAUAGUGCAAAUUUUGGAGGUGGGUUAGCAAGAAUCGAUUUCACACAGUUGAAGGUGAGCUUUAUAAAUUGAAAAUUAUCAAUUUGUUGUUAUUUUCUAGUUGUAUACUAUGAGAAAAAUCAAUUGGGUAAUCAAAAUUUGCUGUAAAAUAUCGAAACGGAAUGGCUGUCGUUUUAAUUAGACAAUGGUGGUAUUGAUAUACUUGUUGGCAAAUUAGUUGUUCCCCAUUCUUUUAUAGCAUUUCAUUAUCAUAAAUAAAUUUAAACGGCACAUAUACAUUUUAAACUAUAGAAUGCCGUUUUGCUCUGCUUAAAUCUAUUAUGUAACAAUAUGAGUCACAUUUUGUUUGUUAUUGAAGCUGUGAUUCAUAGUAUUCAGUUUUGACAAUUAAUGGAGUAAUAUAUUAUUAUUUUUUUAUUGAAUUGCAGAUAUGGACUCUGGUGCAAUGAUUGUUAUUUGUUAUUUUGUUAAAUUUGAAAAGAGUGAUGAAGAUGGAUGGAUUUGGAAAUGGAUAGGGAAUGAUGAAGACAUCGCAACAAAUAUUUUUGUAUAAAAAACAAUCUCAUAUGCAGAGUUGUAUAACGAAGUCCGAAAAGCAGUUAAGGUUGAUCCCAAUGUGUAUGACAUCGAGAUGAAAUUUCUCAUUUCCGGCAUGGCAAAAUUAUCAGUUCCGCCAAUAAAGAUUACUUGCAAUAUGGAUGUUAGUUGGUUUCUUUCUUUGCAUGACAAAGUUCCAAUUUGUGGAACCCUUGUAGAAAAGGGUUGUGUUGAUCAACAAGACAUGGAUGUUAAUAUUGUAAAUGUUCGGGAGAAUCAUGAAUACAAUUCAAAUGUUGUUGCAACUAACAAUGCGAUGGACAUGGAUGAAUUGAAUAUGCAAAAUGAUCAGUCCGAUGACAAUUAUAUGCAACUGUUGUCUCCAUG
RNAcentral lists this long non-coding RNA (3148 nucleotides) under Olea europaea subsp. europaea. Lineage: Eukaryota; Viridiplantae; Streptophyta; Magnoliopsida; Lamiales; Oleaceae. The record is from RNAcentral.